AACGAACGCUGGCGGCAGGCCUAACACAUGCAAGUCGAGCGCGCCCUUCGGGGUGAGCGGCGGACGGGUGAGUAACGCGUGGGAACGUGCCCUUUUCUACGGAAUAGCCUCGGGAAACUGAGAGUAAUACCGUAUACGCCCUUUGGGGGAAAGAUUUAUCGGAAAAGGAUCGGCCCGCGUAGGAUUAGGUAGUUGGUGGGGUAAUGGCCUACCAAGCCGACGAUCCAUAGCUGGUUUGAGAGGAUGAUCAGCCACACUGGGACUGAGACACGGCCCAGACUCCUACGGGAGGCAGCAGUGGGGAAUCUUAGACAAUGGGGGCAACCCUGAUCUAGCCAUGCCGCGUGAGUGAUGAAGGCCUUAGGGUUGUAAAGCUCUUUCAGCUGGGAAGAUAAUGACGGUACCAGCAGAAGAAGCCCCGGCUAACUCCGUG
This 433-nucleotide ribosomal RNA is filed under the name uncultured bacterium. RNAcentral describes it as "partial 16S ribosomal RNA". It matches the Rfam family "Bacterial small subunit ribosomal RNA", at positions 29 to 507 of the family's 1533-position model. The record is from RNAcentral.